GGGGGAAACGCCUGAUCCCAUCCCGAACUCAGAAGCUAAGCCCCUCAGCGCCGAUGGUACUGUAGCACUCGCUACGGGAGAGUAGGUCGAUGCCAGGA
RNAcentral lists this ribosomal RNA (98 nucleotides) under Zetaproteobacteria bacterium. The record is from RNAcentral. Lineage: Bacteria; Pseudomonadati; Pseudomonadota; Candidatius Mariprofundia.